GAGAAAACAUGUGGGCUCAGGCUCAGGGUGCUGGAGAGGCUGGGCAGGCAGAGGGAUUGCUCCCAGGAGCAGGGAGCAGUGGGCAAAGCGGCAGCGCUUUCCCCAGAGCAGGGUGGAUGUCAUGCCUGUUCUCCCCAAAAACAAACUGACUGAAAAUACUAAAAAGUUUUUGUAAUCCUAUUGGUCCUGCCGAGGGAGCCUGACUGGCAGGACAAUACAUCUUUGUUCUCAAUUAAAAAACAUUAUUUGGGUGCAAUAAUCAUUUAAAAGCCAAGAGGAACAAGAUUUUGUGAUUAUAACCACAAAUUGUGAAUUGAAGCAAAUAUUUUAAACAAUCAAGGUUUGGUAGAGAAAGAAGAGAGAGGGAAUAAUAACAACCUUUACUAUAACUCCAUGCAGCCUUCAUCCAGCCAGUACAAUUUUACUUGUAUUCUGAAAUCGAUGCACCAUAAUCACAAACCAAAAUCGUGACUGUAGUAAAAACCCACAUACGACACAAGCAGAUGUGGAGGGAUUCCGUCCGGACUUUAUAUUGCUGGAUACUGUCACAUGAGAAAGGAUGUGCAUCUAAGUGCAAUUCUCUCUUCUGGAAUAUUUGAAGGCCACGCUUAAGGAUCCUCAUGGAGAAAUGCAAGAAGGAAUGAAUAUAAGAGUUUGCUGCAAAAACGGAGGGGAAGAAAAAACAACAAGGACAAUGAAAAAAGAAAAGAAGAAGAAACUGCCCCGAACGAAAGGCUCGAUUCAGAAACAGUGCAAGGCUGCUUCUAAACAGUCAUGUGACUUUUUUUUUGCUAACAGCCAUGUGCUCGCGUAUCAUUUUACUCUGAAAUAACUCUGCGGAUUUCAGCUCAACCUGCCUUUGCUUAUAAUGCAUGACAUAGCCUGUGAGGGAGCCUGAGAACUGUCCCUCUUCAAAAGCAAGGUUCCCAUGCUUGGCCUGUCACCAUGGAAGCAGAUGCCUUUUUUUGCUUACCCCUGCUUACCUCUUUGCAGCCACGAGCUGCUCCCUAUUGUUAAAAGGGGUACGCCUUGAUUUUUCUUCGUCGUGACUGAACUUGCCUCUUCUUCAAAGGGCACGAUGCUGCAGGUCAUUGGUCUAGACUGUUUGCACGGUCCAGAGAACAGCCUUGAUGUAACCCUUGCUCCGUCUGUGCCACACCACCAGCCGUGCGACUGCAGACUGUAGGGGGACAUCGGAGAUCUGUAUUUGAAAAGAAGUCCGUCCGAUUUUGCCAUUGUGCCUUUUCAGUCAUCGAUCGAAUGAAUAUCGAACCUUCUGUCGUUGCAUGUGUGAAAUAGAUAGCUUAGCAAGCACUUUUGUGCCCAAACCUGUGCAGUGGGCCAAACUCUUCCUUUAUUCACAAGUAUUAUUGGUUUUUUGUAGUGUAGUAAUUUUUUGGGAACUUUAAUAACAGUGUUUUUAUGUUAGACCAGCCUCUCACAGCAGAAUCUCUUUGUUUUAACCUGCUUGAUUUAGCACUCAAUUUUUAAUUUUUUUUUUUAAAGGUGCUUUCUCUUUUAAUCAUUUCCAGUUCAACAUCAGCCCUCUUAAAGUGCAAGGGAGGCUGAUUUGGAAUCAGUAUGAACUGCCUGGAAUUGUGAGGAGUUUCAAAACAAGAUACUGACUGGAGGUUUGCUGCCACGAGGCUUUAAAAUUAACACAGGAGAAAAAAGAACGUGAACUUGGAAAGCUUCCAGAAUUAAUUCAAAAAGUAAAAAAAAAUAUUAAAAAUUGCUUUUUUUGCUUGUUUGUUAGAUAAAAUAAAGCAGAUAGUCUUAAAGAAAAGAGAGAUAUU
This 1796-nucleotide long non-coding RNA is filed under the name Junco hyemalis (dark-eyed junco). RNAcentral describes it as "lncRNA (ENSJHYG00000007106.1)". Lineage: Eukaryota; Metazoa; Chordata; Aves; Passeriformes; Passerellidae. The record is from RNAcentral.